RNAcentral lists this transfer-messenger RNA (362 nucleotides) under Shinella sp. It matches the Rfam family "Alphaproteobacteria transfer-messenger RNA". Rfam says of the family: Bacterial tmRNA, also known as 10Sa RNA or SsrA, is named for its dual tRNA and mRNA-like properties. Its role is to liberate the mRNA from a stalled ribosome. To accomplish this part of the tmRNA is used as a reading frame that ends in a translation stop signal. The record is from RNAcentral. Lineage: Bacteria; Pseudomonadati; Pseudomonadota; Alphaproteobacteria; Hyphomicrobiales; Rhizobiaceae.
ACCCUUUUCUUGGGCGCCGGGAAUGCCUAUAUGUGAGGUGCUGCCUCGGCAGCUAUGGCAAUAAACGGGCGGUGUAAUAAACCCAUUGGACCCGGGGGCGGUACCCGGCGCCUCCACCAAAAACCGGUCAACCCUUGACGGACCGGCUUUUGAUGGGGGCGAAAUAGGAUCGACAAGGGCGUAAAGAUCGACUUUUUGCUCGGCAUUGUACCACCGUUAUCGGGCUAAACUUGUAGUUGCAAACGACAACUAUGCGGAAGCUCGUCUCGCUGCUUAAUCGCGGUGUGACACUUCACUCAAAGUCCUGACGGGUCGCACCGGCAGGCGGGGUCCGAAGGCACCUGGCAACAGAAGCCUUCACC